UAGGGAAUCUUCCGCAAUGGGCGAAAGCUUGACGGAGCAACGCCGCGUGAGUGAUGAAGGUCUUCGGAUCGUAAAACUCUGUUAUUAGGGAAGAACAAAUGUGUAAGUAACUAUGCACGUCUUGACGGUACCUAAUCAGAAAGCCACGGCUAACUACGUGCCAGCAGCCGCGGUAAUACGUAGGUGGCAAGCGUUAUCCGGAAUUAUUGGGCGUAAAGCGCGCGUAGGCGGUUUUUUAAGUCUGAUGUGAAAGCCCACGGCUCAACCGUCGAGGGUCAUUGGAAACCGGAAAACUUGAGUGCAGAAGAGGGAAGUGGAAUUCCAUGUGGAGCGGUGAAAUGCGCAGAGAUAUGGAGGAACACCAGUGGCGAAGGCGACUUUCUGGUCUGUAACUGACGCUGAUGUGCGAAAGCGUGGGGAUCAAACAGG
Molecule: ribosomal RNA, 429 nt
Filed under: Actinomycetes bacterium
Lineage: Bacteria; Bacillati; Actinomycetota; Actinomycetes
Description: Actinobacteria bacterium partial 16S ribosomal RNA
Rfam family: Bacterial small subunit ribosomal RNA
Source: RNAcentral